This 421-nucleotide ribosomal RNA is filed under the name uncultured bacterium. RNAcentral describes it as "bacterial SSU rRNA". It matches the Rfam family "Bacterial small subunit ribosomal RNA", at positions 359 to 773 of the family's 1533-position model. The record is from RNAcentral.
GAAUUGUUCGCAAUGGGCGCAAGCCUGACGACGCAACGCCGCGUGGAGGAUGAAGGUCUUCGGAUUGUAAACUCCUGUUGCCCGGGACGAACGUCUCCGACCUAACACGUCGGGGAGUGACGGUACCGGGUGAGGAAGCCCCGGCUAACUCUGUGCCAGCAGCCGCGGUAAUACAGAGGGGGCAAGCGUUGUUCGGAAUUACUGGGCGUAAAGGGCGCGUAGGCGGCCUGCUAAGUCGAACGUGAAAUCCCCGGGCUCAACCCGGGAACUGCGUUCGAGACUGGUGGGCUUGAAUUCGGGAGAGGGAUGCGGAAUUCCAGGUGUAGCGGUGAAAUGCGUAGAUAUCUGGAGGAACACCGGUGGCGAAGGCGGCAUCCUGGACCGACAUUGACGCUGAGGCGCGAAAGCCAGGGGAGCAAAC